UGAGUUUGAUCAUGGCUCAGAUUGAACGCUGGCGGCAGGCCUAACACAUGCAAGUCGAGCGGAAACGAGUUAUCUGAACCUUCGGGGGACGAUAACGGCGUCGAGCGGCGGACGGGUGAGUAAUGCCUAGGAAAUUGCCCUGAUGUGGGGGAUAACCAUUGGAAACGAUGGCUAAUACCGCAUAAUGCCUACGGGCCAAAGAGGGGGACCUUCGGGCCUCUCGCGUCAGGAUAUGCCUAGGUGGGAUUAGCUAGUUGGUGAGGUAAUGGCUCACCAAGGCGACGAUCCCUAGCUGGUCUGAGAGGAUGAUCAGCCACACUGGAACUGAGACACGGUCCAGACUCCUACGGGAGGCAGCAGUGGGGAAUAUUGCACAAUGGGCGCAAGCCUGAUGCAGCCAUGCCGCGUGUGUGAAGAAGGCCUUCGGGUUGUAAAGCACUUUCAGUCGUGAGGAAGGUAGUGUAGUUAAUAGCUGCAUUAUUUGACGUUAGCGACAGAAGAAGCACCGGCUAACUCCGUGCCAGCAGCCGCGGUAAUACGGAGGGUGCGAGCGUUAAUCGGAAUUA
RNAcentral lists this ribosomal RNA (566 nucleotides) under uncultured Gammaproteobacteria bacterium. RNAcentral's name for it is "bacterial SSU rRNA". It matches the Rfam family "Bacterial small subunit ribosomal RNA", at positions 1 to 553 of the family's 1533-position model. Lineage: Bacteria; Pseudomonadati; Pseudomonadota; Gammaproteobacteria. The record is from RNAcentral.